AUCAGUUAUAAGUUAAUUGAUCUUUAGUUGGUUCCAUAACUUGCUAAUACGAAAAGAGAACAAAACAAAAAAAGUUAAUCAAAGGAUUUUACAAAAGCUAAAAAUUAACUAAAUCUCACAUCAUAAGAACCCCGAAAUUUAAUGAAGAAUUCUCCAAAACCCACAAAUUAAAACGUAAAAUUCUACAAAAUCAUGAAAAAAUUAAUACAAUCUAAUUAUAUUAAUCACCAAAUUGAAUUAGAUCUUCACAUCCAAUAAGUAACAGAGUUUGAAAACAUUAUACCCCAAGAAACCCCAAAUUUACAGAAAUUGGGAGCAAAGAUCGAAGAGAUCUCACGAAGCCGACAUCGAAAUCGUCAAUCGAAGAAGCAGCAGCACUGCAGAUAUAUCAACAUACAUUCAUCGUUAGGUGCAACCAUAGAAGCUUUGCACUCCAAAACACUACUCAUAGAAUAAUCAUUGACCUUCUGUAUGAAGCAAAGUUGAUAAAGACAUCAGCAAUAGGAUGUGCGGCGUAUGAUGCUUCAAUGCUGCACCAAUGAACAGUGUUUUGCACCACAUUUCAGUUAUCAACCUAAAGCCACGAAAGACGAAAUCUAGGAAGAGGAUGAGAUUCGGCGACUUACUUUGAGUGCACCGGUAUGGCGAUUUCCUCGACGGAAAAAUAGCUUUUGAAAUCCCUCAGAACCGGGGUUAAUGAAUCCAGCAACUGAUGGUGUCCGCACACGCACAACACCCUACCUAGAGAAGGGAGACGGCGGCGACUGGAGGAUAGGAUGGAGGCGAGACCGUCGUUCUCACAGGGUCUGCGAUACCGUCGUUCUCGCAGGGUCUGCGAGACGGAAGAGGCAAUGAGGGUUUGAGAAGGAAAUGGAAAAGGCCAGCUUUACCAUCGUUCUACCCUUCCCAUGAUUAUCAACACGUUUGCAUCAAGAUUAGCGGCAGAGAGAGCUUGGCAGAGCACCUACCUAAAUAUCUCUCUCACUCAGUCCAAACCCGUAGCUCCCAUCUCUCUCCAAUCUGUCAGGCUCUGUGUCUCCCUCCUCUGUAGUCGCUCUAUCCCCCUAUCUCCGCUCGCCAGAGGCACACCCAGCUGUCUCCGAGUCAAAAAUGGGAGCGAUUGUCUCUCUCCAAUUUGUCAGGCGUGAUGUUCCCCUCCCCUCUCUCUCGCCGAGUCAAACGUGAAAUGCAGCCAACGGCUGAAAAUAGGUUUUUAAGCCUGAGUGGCAAUUUUGUAAAUUAAAUGAAAGGUGGUUAAUAGCAUCCGAGUGGUAAUCUUGUAAAUAAACUGAAAUGUGGUGCAAAACACUGUUCAUUGGUACAGUGCAAUUGAAAAGCCUUCUUUAGACUAAA
Molecule: long non-coding RNA, 1353 nt
Organism: Malus domestica (apple)
Lineage: Eukaryota; Viridiplantae; Streptophyta; Magnoliopsida; Rosales; Rosaceae
Source: RefSeq, a predicted model, not a curated record